Molecule: long non-coding RNA, 1165 nt
Filed under: Homo sapiens (human)
Lineage: Eukaryota; Metazoa; Chordata; Mammalia; Primates; Hominidae
Description: HSALNT0222453
Source: RNAcentral
GAAGGAUUUACUAAUUUAAAGACUUACUAGAAAGUUUCAAUAAUCCAAAGUGUGGUACUGAUGUAAGGAUACACAAAUAGAUUAAUGGAACAGAACAGAAAAUGUAGAAAUACACACACACGUGAUCAAUUUUUAACCAAGCUACCAAGUCAAUCUAAUGGGUAAAGAAAAGUCUUUUUAAGUAAAUGUUGCUGGAACAACUGUAUAUCCAUGUUGGAAAAAAACCAAACCUCAUUCUGUUCACAAAAAUUAAUUUGAGAUGGAUCACAGACCUAAACAUAAAAUCCCAAACCAUAAAACUUCUAGAAGAAAAUAUAUUCUUUGUGACUUUGAGGUCAUAAAACCAUAAAAUAAAAAACUGAUAAAGUGGAUUUUAUAAAAAAAAUUUGUUCAUCGAAAGAUCCCAAUAAGUGAAUACAUAGAGUCUUUAAAAAAUCAUAGCAUAUCUAUCAAAGGAUUUAUAUUCAAAAUACAAAGAAUAACACCUACAAUAAAAAGACACCCAACUUUAAAAUGAGAAAAGACAUGAAAGACACUUCUUGAAAGAUAUACAAAUGAAAAAUAAGCAUAUGAAAAAGUGCUCAACUCAUUAAUCAGGGAAAUGUAAUGUAAAUUAAAAUCAGUUAUUUCAUAUAUGCUAAAAUGGCUAAUAUAAAAAACAGUGACAGUGUAAAUGUUGACAGACAUGUGAAGCAACUGUAACUCUCAUACAUCACUGAUAGGAGUACAAAAUGGUAAAACCACUUUGGAGAAUAAGAGGGCAGUUUCUUAUAAACAUGCACUUACCAUAUGACCCAGUAAUUUUCUACUCUUAUUUAUCCAAGACAAGUGAAGAUGUAUAUCCACAAAAAACAAAAACAAAAGGCUGUGUAAGAAUAUCGAUAGCAUCCUUAUUCAUAAUUGCCCCAAACUGGAAACAACCUAAAGGUCCUUCAAUAGGAGAAUGAAUAAACAAAUUGUGGUAUAUUUAUAGAAUGAAAUACUACUCAGCAAUAAAGAACAAUGUCCUAAUACAUACAGUAUGCGUGUCUUUAAAGCAUUAUCAGUGAAAGAAGCCAGAUGCAAAAGAGUACAUUAUUAUAUGAUUCCACUUAUAUGUAAUCCAAAAGCAGGUACAACAAAUCUUUAGUGAUAAAAAUCAUAAGACUGAGAUGGAAGAGCUAGG